AGAGUUUGAUCCUGGCUCAGGAUGAACGCUAGCUACAGGCUUAACACAUGCAAGUCGAGGGGCAUCAUGCUUAUAGCAAUAUAAGUGAUGGCGACCGGCGCACGGGUGAGUAACACGUAUCCAACCUGCCGAUAACUCGGGGAUAGCCUUUCGAAAGAAAGAUUAAUACCCGAUGGCAUAAUAGAACCGCAUGGUUUGAUUAUUAAAGAAUUUCGGUUAUCGAUGGGGAUGCGUUCCAUUAGGCAGUUGGUGGGGUAACGGCCCACCAAACCUUCGAUGGAUAGGGGUUCUGAGAGGAAGGUCCCCCACAUUGGAACUGAGACACGGUCCAAACUCCUACGGGAGGCAGCAGUGAGGAAUAUUGGUCAAUGGACGAGAGUCUGAACCAGCCAAGUAGCGUGAAGGAUGACUGCCCUAUGGGUUGUAAACUUCUUUUAUAUGGGAAUAAAGUGGUCCACGUGUGGAUUUUUGUAUGUACCAUAUGAAUAAGGAUCGGCUAACUCCGUGCCAGCAGCCGCGGUAAUACGGAGGAUCCGAGCGUUAUCCGGAUUUAUUGGGUUUAAAGGGAGCGUAGGUGGACAGUUAAGUCAGUUGUGAAAGUUUGCGGCUCAACCGUAAAAUUGCAGUUGAUACUGGCUGUCUUGAGUACAGUAGAGGUGGGCGGAAUUCGUGGUGUAGCGGUGAAAUGCUUAGAUAUCACGAAGAACUCCGAUUGCGAAGGCAGCUCACUGGACUGCAACUGACACUGAUGCUCGAAAGUGUGGGUAUCAAAAAGGAUUAGAUACCCUGGUAGUCCACACAGUAAACCCCGAAAACUCGCUGUUUGCGAUAUACAGUAAGCGGCCAAGCGAAAGCAUUAAGUAUUCCACCUGGGGAGUACGCCGGCAACGGUGAAACUCAAAGGAAUUGACGGGGGCCCGCACAAGCAGCGGAGCAUGUGGCUUAAUUCGAAGCAACGCGAAGAACCUUACCAGGGCUUGACAUAUGGGUGAAGCGGGGGAGACCCCGUGGCCGAGAGGAGCCCAUACAGGUGGUGCAUGGCUGUCGUCAGCUCGUGUCGUGAGAUGUUGGGUUAAGUCCCGCAACGAGCGCAACCCCCGCCGCGUGUUGCCAUCGGGUGAUGCCGGGAACCCACGCGGGACCGCCGCCGUCAAGGCGGAGGAGGGCGGGGACGACGUCAAGUCAUCAUGCCCCUUAUGCCCUGGGCUGCACACGUGCUACAAUGGCCGGUACAGAGGGAUGCCACCCCGCGAGGGGGAGCGGAUCCCGGAAAGCCGGCCCCAGUUCGGAUUGGGGGCUGCAACCCGCCCCCAUGAAGUCGGAGUUGCUAGUAAUCGCGGAUCAGCAUGCCGCGGUGAAUGCGUUCCCGGGCCUUGCACUCACCGCCCGUCAAG
This 1394-nucleotide ribosomal RNA is filed under the name uncultured bacterium. RNAcentral's name for it is "bacterial SSU rRNA". It matches the Rfam family "Bacterial small subunit ribosomal RNA". The record is from RNAcentral.